AUUUUCGUUUCGCUAUUAUAUGGGGCAUAUAAUGGGCUAUACAUGGUUAUAUUUUAUGAAAAAGUGUUGUUGUUGGAAUGGGUAUACAUGUUGGGUGAAUUGGGGUGUUGUUUGUGUAUGAAAAAUGUCAUGGUUAAACUUAAAAUCAUGUUUCUAUGAUGUGUAUCUUGUUUAAGUUUACCUUGAAUGAAUUAUAUAUAUAUAUAUUGUGGGGCACUUAUAUAUACUCUUUGACCAAGAGUAUGGGUAAGAGGGUAUAGAGAAUUCUCUUCCAUUGUUGGAAGAGAAAGGAAUGAGUUGUGAGAAAGAGAGGAGUGAAGUUGAUGUUUUGGUGAGUUGGGGUACAUGGAGUUGAUGAUAAGAGUGAAGAAAGAAGAAGCUUGGUGUCAUUGGAGGAAGAAAAACAUGAAGGAAGAAUUAUGGAAGUGGAAGGAGGAGAUGGGCACACUACAAAUCACAUAGCAAAGAGAAAAGAUGAAAGUCUUGGAGUUGGAGUUGAGAAGGAGAACAAAAUGGGAUAGAGCUUUGGGUUGAGUUGGAAAAUGUUAGAGAUGAAGAAAAGGAGAAAAAGGAGAAGGGGAGGAGAAAACAUGAAAGAACCAUAAGAAGGCAACUAAUUUUGUAAGAAAUAAAAGAAUGAAAAGGGAUGGAGUGGUGAUGCAUGGACUUGACGCAAAGUGAGAAGAAAGAAAUGUGUUUUGGGUUUUAGUAGAGAGAAAAUAAUUGUGAUCGGGCUGUGAACUUUGUUUAAAGAGAGAGAAGUUAGACAUUUGUGAAAUAUGGGGUGGGGGAGUCUUAUGUGAAUGGUAAUUGAAUGGGAGAGAGAUUGACCUUUUAGUCUUAGAAAAGAGAAAAAAAGUUGAUCUAGAAAAGUGAGUAGGGUCCACAGAAAUUUGGUGUGAAAGGUGGGUAAGGUGGAUUUUUGGUUUAAUUGAAUGAAAAAUAAAAGAGAAUGAGAGAAAGGAAGAAGAGUUACGUAAAAAGUGGAAAGAAGGAGAGAAAGUGCUUUUAGUAAAAAGAAAAGAAAAGAAAAGAGUGUAGUGUGGAGAGGAGUGGUUAUGUAAACUUUGGUGAGAGGAAUGAAUAGUUUGGUUUGAAAAGUAAAAUAAAGUGGGAAGUGGGGUCCGUGUGAGAAAAGAUGAGUGAAUGAAAUUUUGUAUAUUGGAAAUAAAAGCAAAAAAGAGAAGGGAGAGAGGGUUUGGUUACGUAAAAAGUGGAAAAAGGAGAAAGAAAGAGAGCUUUGAUGAGGAAAGAAUAUUUUAAGUGAGGUCCACUUGGUGAGAGAAAAAUAAAGUGUGUUAAGGGGUACAUUAAUGAAUUGUGCCUUCUAUUAGGUUGUGUUUUAGUAAAAGUGGGGGUGCACAAAAAUUAAUUGUUCUAGUAAACAAGUGUGAAAUUAACAAUUGCACGGGGUUGCGACAGUAGAAAGGUAAUUAAAUGAUUUAAUUGUGAAAAUUAAUUUAUUUAAUUAUUUCUGAAUGUUAUUUUAUUUAUUUGUUGGUCAAUCAUUUGGUUGACUUUGUAUAUGAUGGUGAUCUGUGUAUGAUUGUGAUGGUGAAGUUGUGAGAGAAAGCGUUCUGUCAUUUUCUUAGAAUUUUUGUCGAACCCAUGGUGUUCGUAUUGCGAUACGAUAGUGUGUUGAGUUCUCUGCGGAGACUGAGAUUCGAGUGUCACCCUAUCCUCGUGCGCGAGGACUAGAGAGGGUUGAAUGUCUCACCCAAUGACUGCGCCUGAUGAGUCGAUAUUUUAUUGAUUUCACUUAGUUUAUUGUGCUAAAAUUAAUCAGGGAAUUGUGCUUAAUUGUCCGGUAUUUUCCCGUUUUUCGUAAUUAUGCUUAAUUUGACCAGAAAUUCUAAUUUUAAUUAAUUUGAAUUUUCUGAGCUAAUUUUUUGCAUUAUUAUUUUCAGGGAAAAUUAUGGAAACACAAUUUGGGACAUUUGGAGGAUACCAAAUAAAUUCAAGACUCUCCAUUUAGACAUUUUAAAUUUUAAUUGUAUUGUAAUUUUAAUUGUUAGAACUUUUUAGACAAACUUUUACAUUGUGGGCCAAUGUUGGCAAAUUUCACGAUGGGCCCAAACUUUGAGGGGCACAUAGCACCAAGGGUGUUUCAUCCUCCACCUCCAAGCUUUCAUCCUAGACCUCCAAAAAUUACCAUUUUAACCUUAAUUAAUAUUAUUUUUAUAUUUUCUCUUUCCUCAUAAAGUCAUUCUGCACCCCUCUAACUUUUUCUCUUUCUUAUUAAAGUCAACCUACACCCUUCUAAUUUUUUCUCUCUUUUAUUAAAGUCAUCCUACAUCAUUUUAAUAGAUUUUAAAAUCUAUACAAUUUUUAUAUAAAUUUUCUAAAUU
Molecule: long non-coding RNA, 2348 nt
Filed under: Vigna radiata
Lineage: Eukaryota; Viridiplantae; Streptophyta; Magnoliopsida; Fabales; Fabaceae
Description: long non-coding RNA (VRAD_LNC010166)
Source: RNAcentral